This 76-nucleotide transfer RNA is filed under the name Oxalis sp. AOKI2016. RNAcentral's name for it is "partial tRNA-Leu". Lineage: Eukaryota; Viridiplantae; Streptophyta; Magnoliopsida; Oxalidales; Oxalidaceae. The record is from RNAcentral.
GACUUAAUUGGAUUGAGCCUUGGUAUGAAAAUCCGUCGACUUUAGAAAUCGUGAGGGUUCAAGUCCCUCUAUCCCC